CACGGUUAUUUUAGUUGUUCCAAAAAACUACUUGGGUACUUGGUAUACACUUUCUGUGUCUGUCCAAAAUUUCCAGUCGUGAAAUUGAUGCACCAGGACUCAUCAAUGAGCCAAUUAAAAUUCUAACAAAACCCACAAAAAUAUAUGCACAGAUCUCAAGACUGCGUGUAUUAAAGAAAAAAAAAAUUCUUACCAUUUACAAUAACAAGAACUCAGUUGCUAAAUGUAAACUUCAAAUCCCCGGUUCUUGCACCCAUUGAAGCCUCAACUUGCAGGAUAAGUAAUCACUUGUUGGGCACAUACGGACUACUGUUAAUUCUUUUCUUCGGUUUCCAUGGAACCUUCAUUGAUCUUCACUGUAUUUGCACUGGUCUCAGAUGGUUGAUCAGAAGAGAGUGACUGCUGCUCUAAAGUAGCGCCUGGAUUGAUCGGUUUCUUGAACUGCACUAUGAUCAUGGUCAUGUUGUCACAUCCCUCGCCACCAACAAUAGGUGCUAAACAUCUGUCGAAAACUUUCUCACAAAUUACUGAAAGCUUAGUUUCAGUGUUUAACUGCUCACGCACAUAAUCCACCAGCUGUUGGCUUGACAUGCAAUCCCAAAUGCCAUCACAAGC
This 615-nucleotide unclassified non-coding RNA is filed under the name Hevea brasiliensis (rubber tree). Lineage: Eukaryota; Viridiplantae; Streptophyta; Magnoliopsida; Malpighiales; Euphorbiaceae. The record is from RNAcentral.